Molecule: long non-coding RNA, 111 nt
Organism: Dermochelys coriacea (leatherback sea turtle)
Lineage: Eukaryota; Metazoa; Chordata; Testudines; Dermochelyidae
Exons: 3
Source: RefSeq, a predicted model, not a curated record
CCCCACUUGAGACCUCCCUCCAAUCUGACAUCAUUCCAUUAAUAGUUACUCUUUGUUUGCGGUUGUUUAGACAAUUAUGUAUCCAUUUAAUAGUACCUGCACUGAGACUGU